This 253-nucleotide ribosomal RNA is filed under the name uncultured bacterium. RNAcentral's name for it is "partial 16S ribosomal RNA". It matches the Rfam family "Bacterial small subunit ribosomal RNA", at positions 524 to 776 of the family's 1533-position model. The record is from RNAcentral.
UACGGGGGGGGCAAGCGUUGUUCGGAAUUACUGGGCGUAAAGGGUGCGUAGGUGGCGGGGUAAGUCUGGUGUGAAAUCUCGGGGCUCAACCCCGAAACUGCACUGGAUACUGCCUUGCUUGAGUACUGGAGAGGAGAUUGGAAUUUACGGUGUAGCAGUGAAAUGCGUAGAUAUCGUAAGGAAGACCAGUGGCGAAGGCGAAUCUCUGGACAGUUACUGACACUGAGGCACGAAGGCCAGGGGAGCAAACGGG